GGUCUAUUAGCUCAGUUGGUUAGAGUGUUGUGUUAAUAAUGCAAAGGUUGCAAGUUCGAGACCUGCAUGGGUAA
RNAcentral lists this transfer RNA (74 nucleotides) under Musa acuminata subsp. malaccensis (wild Malaysian banana). It matches the Rfam family "tRNA". From Rfam's summary of the family: Transfer RNA (tRNA) molecules are approximately 80 nucleotides in length. Lineage: Eukaryota; Viridiplantae; Streptophyta; Magnoliopsida; Zingiberales; Musaceae. The record is from Rfam by way of RNAcentral.